RNAcentral lists this ribosomal RNA (468 nucleotides) under uncultured bacterium. RNAcentral's name for it is "partial 16S ribosomal RNA". It matches the Rfam family "Bacterial small subunit ribosomal RNA", at positions 28 to 507 of the family's 1533-position model. The record is from RNAcentral.
GACGAACGCUGGCGGCGUGCUUAACACAUGCAAGUCGAACGGAAAGGCCCUGCUUUUGUGGGGUGCUCGAGUGGCGAACGGGUGAGUAACACGUGAGUAACCUGCCCUUGACUUUGGGAUAACUUCAGGAAACUGGGGCUAAUACCGGAUAGGAGCUCCUGCUGCAUGGUGGGGGUUGGAAAGUUUCGGCGGUUGGGGAUGGACUCGCGGCUUAUCAGCCUGUUGGUGGGGUAGUGGCUUACCAAGGCUUUGACGGGUAGCCGGCCUGAGAGGGUGACCGGCCACAUUGGGACUGAGAUACGGCCCAGACUCCUACGGGAGGCAGCAGUGGGGAAUAUUGCACAAUGGGCGGAAGCCUGAUGCAGCAACGCCGCGUGCGGGAUGACGGCCUUCGGGUUGUAAACCGCUUUCGCCUGUGACGAAGCGUGAGUGACGGUAAUGGGUAAAGAAGCACCGGCUAACUACGCG